GAUGAACGCUGGCGGCGUGCCUAAUACAUGCAAGUCGAGCGAACAGACGAGGAGCUUGCUCCUCUGACGUUAGCGGCGGACGGGUGAGUAACACGUGGAUAACCUACCUAUAAGACUGGGAUAACUUCGGGAAACCGGAGCUAAUAACGGAUAAUAUAUUGAACCGCAUGGUUCAAUAGUGAAAGACGGUUUUGCUGUCACUUAUAGAUGGAUCCGCGCCGCAUUAGCUAGUUGGUAAGGUAACGGCUUACCAAGGCAACGAUGCGUAGCCGACCUGAGAGGGUGGUCGGCCACACUGGAACUGAGACACGGUCCAGACACCUACGGGAGGCAGCAGGAGGGAAUCUUCCGCAAUGGGCGAAAGCGUGACGGAGCAACGCCGCGUGAGUGAUGAAGGUCUUCGGAUCGUAAAACUCUGUUAUUAGGGAAGAACAAAUGUGUAAGUAACUAUGCACGGCUUGACGGUACCUAAUCAGAAAGCCACGGCUAACUACGU
This 496-nucleotide ribosomal RNA is filed under the name uncultured bacterium. RNAcentral's name for it is "partial 16S ribosomal RNA". It matches the Rfam family "Bacterial small subunit ribosomal RNA", at positions 28 to 506 of the family's 1533-position model. The record is from RNAcentral.